UGAUCCAGCAAUGCCGCGUGUGUGAAGAAGGCCUUCGGGUUGUAAAGCACUUUUGUCAGGAACGAAACGGUCUGGGUUAAUACCUCGGGCUAAUGACGGUACCUGAAGAAAAGCACCGGCUAACUACGUGCCAGCAGCCGCGGUAAUACGUAGGGUGCAAGCGUUAAUCGGAAUUACUGGGCGUAAAGCGUGCGCAGGCGGUUAUGUAAGACAGAUGUGAAAUGCCCGGGCUUAACCUGGGAACUGCAUUUGUGACUGCAUGGCUAGAAUCUGGCAGAGGGGGGUAGAAUUCCACGUGUAGCAGUGAAAUGCGUAGAUAUGUGGAGGAAUACCGAUGGCGAAGGCAGCCCCCUGGGCUAAGAUUGACGCUCAUGCACGAAAGCGUGGGGAGCAAACAGGAUUAGAUACCCUGGUAGUCCACGCCCUAAACGAUGUCUACUAGUUGUCGGGUCUUAAUUGACUUGGUAACGCAGCUAACGCGUGAAGUAGACCGCCUGGGGAGUACGGUCGCAAGAUUAA
This 519-nucleotide ribosomal RNA is filed under the name uncultured beta proteobacterium. RNAcentral describes it as "bacterial SSU rRNA". It matches the Rfam family "Bacterial small subunit ribosomal RNA", at positions 384 to 897 of the family's 1533-position model. Lineage: Bacteria; Pseudomonadati; Pseudomonadota; Betaproteobacteria. The record is from RNAcentral.